This 1071-nucleotide small RNA is filed under the name Malus domestica (apple). RNAcentral describes it as "sRNA MD03G0086500". The record is from RNAcentral. Lineage: Eukaryota; Viridiplantae; Streptophyta; Magnoliopsida; Rosales; Rosaceae.
AAACCUGAGGCAAUUAAUAAAUCAACCAUUUUAUAUAGAACAGCCUGCAAGGCAUGCUUUUCUUUUUGGGCGGGUGCAAAGCAAAAACGUUAGGUAUAUCUCUCUAGUACGAAACUGAAGCUUAGGGGAUAACUUGCAGAGCGUCGUCCGUCAAUCUAAUUUUCCCGGAAAUUUUUGAAAUUUUCUCAGCAGCCAUGAAAACCCACUCUGCUUCUCUAGUUUUCGUCUCAGUUCUUCUCUUUCUCUUCCAAUCCUAACAACCCAUGCCGAAGCUGAGGUUAUAACCCUAACCGCCGACACCUUCUCGGACAAGGUGAAGGAGAGAGACACGGCAUGGUUUGUGAAAUUCUGUGUACCGUGGUGUAAACAUUGUAAGAACAUGGGUACGUUGUGGGAGGACCUUGGGAAGACAGUGGAAGGCGAAGACGAAAUAGAGGUUGGGGAAGUUGAUUGCAGUACGAGUAAACCCGUAUGUUCCAAAGUUGACAUUCAUUCAUAUCCUACGUUUAAAGUAUUCUAUGAUGGUGAAGAAGUCGCAAAAUAUCAAGGGCCGAGGGAUGUUGACUCACUUAAAAACUUUGUCUUAGAAGAAGCCGAAAAGGCAGCAACAAGGGCACAGCUUGACAAUGAUAAAGAGUUGUAGUGAACUGUCGGAUGUGACUUGCGUGUUGAACCCGCAUUAGCACACAUGGUGACAGACGCCCAGUAUAUGCUUCUAUGGACAUCAGCUCAGCUUCAGCUUCAGCAGUUGGGUUCGGGCACAACAAUUUUGACUCGGGAUCGCGACUCCAGUGGGGCAAAUACCAACUACAACUCAUACAUGGGCAACAGCAGCUUGUAUUCAUGAAUGAAUUUAAAAACUCGGUAAUUUUCACAUGAUAUUUAGUUUGGAUGUUCGUUUGGUAGGUGUAAUUGUCCAAGUUUUAAGUUAUUGCAGGUUUAAUUUCAUCACGAAUAGUUCGUGUUUGGAUUUAUAAGUUGUUUUCAGACAUGACAAACGAGUUUAUACUGGAGAUUGGAGAUCUAUUAUUAUUUAGUAUCAUCUUGCUAACUGUCAUAUAUGUUAUAAAA